Molecule: ribosomal RNA, 849 nt
Filed under: Escherichia coli
Lineage: Bacteria; Pseudomonadati; Pseudomonadota; Gammaproteobacteria; Enterobacterales; Enterobacteriaceae
Description: bacterial SSU rRNA
Rfam family: Bacterial small subunit ribosomal RNA
Source: RNAcentral
CCCAAACCUCGGGAACUGCCCUCUGGAUAUUUGGCAAGCCUUGAGUUUUUGUUAGAGGGGGGGUAGGAAUUCCCAGGGUGUAGCUGUGCAAAUGCGUUAGAGAUCCUGGAGGGAAUACCGGUGGCGAAAGGCGGCCCCCCUGGACGAAGACUGACGCUCGGGUGCGACAGCGUGGGUAGCAAACAGGAUUAGAUACCCUGGUGGUACACCACGUAAACGAUGUCGACUAGUAGGUUGUUCCCCCGGGCGGAGCUUCCUCCGGAAACAACUUAAUUUGUCGGCCGCGGGGGGAGUGCGGCAGCGAGGAUAAAACUCAAAUAAAUUGACGGGGGCCCCCACAAGCGGUGGAGCAUGUGGUUUAAUUCGAUGCAACGCGAAGAACCUUACCUGGUCUUGACAUCCACGGAAGUUUUCAGAGAUGGGAAGGUGCCUUCGGGAACCGUGAGACAGGUGCUGCAUGGCUGUCGUCAGCUCGUGUUGUGAAAUGUUGGGUUAAGUCCCGCAACGAGCGCAACCCUUAUCCUUUGUUGCCAGCGGUCCGGCCGGGAACUCAAAGGAGACUGCCAGUGAUAAACUGGAGGAAGGUGGGGAUGACGUCAAGUCAUCAUGGCCCUUACGACCAGGGCUACACACGUGCUACAAUGGCGCAUACAAAGAGAAGCGACCUCGCGAGAGCAAGCGGACCUCAUAAAGUGCGUCGUAGUCCGGAUUGGAGUCUGCAACUCGACUCCAUGAAGUCGGAAUCGCUAGUAAUCGUGGAUCAGAAUGCCACGGUGAAUACGUUCCCGGGCCUUGUACACACCGCCCGUCACACCAUGGGAGUGGGUUGCUAAAAGAAGUAGGUAGCUU